UCUGUCCCUGAAAGGCCAGAACAAACUGCCUCCUAGGGUAACACUAAGUGCUACUGCCAUUUGAGACAGACGUGUGCACAGACAGCCCUAGCUCACAGGAUUGUAGGUCCCCAGCGGAUGAAUGAACUGGCUGUUUGCUGGGUGCCGGGAAGAUGCUUUGGAGCCACCCAUAGAUGGACCUGCAUGGGGACUUGCUUUUCCAGGAGAGAUGAUUGAUUCACCAUGCUGACCUGACCACUCUCCCACGUGGUCUUCCUAGUGAUCAGAUGGGGUAUCUGAAGGUUCAGAAACAGAUCAAAGAAAACGCUGUGCACAUGGAGUGAAUGUGCGGUGGCUCAGACCUGUAAUCCCAGCACUUUGGGAGGCCAAGGCAAGAGGAUUACUUGAGCUCAGGAGUUUGAGACCAGCCUGGGGGAGGAAAAAAGACUCAGAGAGGUUAAGUAUCCGACCCAAGGCACACAGCUGUUUCUCAGGGGAGCCCGGAUUCAAACCCAGGGACUCGGAUCCUAGAGCCUGUGCUUUCACCCGCUGCGCUGCACCAUAUGUGUACCAGGAUGGUAGAAUCAGAGGUCUGGAUUCCAGCAUUUCCCUGCCAGAGGCUAUGGUGGGUGUGCCGAGCACCACCCUGAGGGGGAAGCAGUAUCUCAGCAACUACACCCCCGAGGAAGAGGCAGUCCCCAAUCAGCGGGAGCAAUGGGACCUGCUGAUGACAAAAUAAGCCACAGAAUGAAUGGCUCUGCUCCACUGGCCUUCUCUCCUCCCUGCCCCCUU
This 771-nucleotide long non-coding RNA is filed under the name Homo sapiens (human). RNAcentral's name for it is "non-protein coding EHD4-AS1:1". The record is from RNAcentral. Lineage: Eukaryota; Metazoa; Chordata; Mammalia; Primates; Hominidae.